GCUUAUUGCGCGGCGAAAAAACCUUACACACAGUGUUUUUUGUUAUUACAAGAACUUUUGCUUUGGUCUGGACUAGAAAUAGUUUGGGCCAGAGGUUUACUGAACUAAACUUCAAUAUUUAUAUUGAAUUGUUAUUUAUUUAAUUGUCAAUUUGUUGAUUAAAUUCAAAAAAUCUUCAAAACUUUCAACAACGGAUCUCUUGGUUCUCGCAUCGAUGAAGAACGCAGCCAGGAUCAUUACAGUAUUCUUUUUGCCGCGCUUAAUUGCGCGGCGAAAAAACCUUACACACAGUGUUUUUUGUUAUUAC
Molecule: unclassified non-coding RNA, 307 nt
Filed under: Debaryomyces hansenii
Lineage: Eukaryota; Fungi; Ascomycota; Pichiomycetes; Serinales; Debaryomycetaceae
Description: sequence contains ITS1
Rfam family: 5.8S ribosomal RNA (bases 180-296)
Source: RNAcentral